This 216-nucleotide ribosomal RNA is filed under the name Glomeromycotina sp. Its description in RNAcentral is "partial small subunit ribosomal RNA". The stretch from base 40 to 216 matches the Rfam family "Eukaryotic small subunit ribosomal RNA", at positions 686 to 864 of the family's 1831-position model. The record is from RNAcentral. Lineage: Eukaryota; Fungi; Glomeromycota.
GGGUCAGUAGGUUGGUCGUGCCACCGGUACGUACUGGUCUUACUGAUUCCUCCUUCCUGAAGAACCGUAAUGCCAUUAAGUUGGUGUUGCGGGGAAACAGGACUGUUACUUUGAAAAAAUUAGAGUGUUUAAAGCAAGCUAACGCUUGAAUACAUUAGCAUGGAAUAAUGAAGUAGGACGAUCGAUCCUAUUUUGUUGGUUUCUGGGAUUGACGUA